AGGCUAAUUUUGUCCUCUUUAGGCUCCAUGAUACAAGGGAAUGCAGUACAAACGCAAGUCUCAACAGUAGAGAGUCAAAACCAUCCAGCACUCAGUGGCCCCAUCGCGCUGGUCAGUAGAGGACCCGAGGCCAUCAGACGCAGCGGAACCUUUCUGGGUCGUAAGGUGAUAGUCCGGGGGACGUAAAUAGCCAGACGACGCGAGGAGGAAAGUGCGGGAGACUGGAAUGAAGCGACUGGAGAGUUAUGAAGGAUGAUGCCGCCGAAGUCCCGAGCGGCUUCGAGACAAGGAAGAGAAGCUCCGCGACUCACUUGAGCCAGUCAGUCAGUGGUCAGUGGCGUCAGCUUUGUUGUGGUGUACGCGUGAGUCUUGUGUUUUCUUGAACGCUUUUUUGGGCUUUAGGUGAACCAAAACUCUCCCAAAGCCUGUCCACAGUGGUCACCAGGUAUGUUAACCUGGUAAUGAGUGUAUUUGGACAUACACUGCUAGUGAAACUGGUGUGUCAUGCCUCGCUUGGCUGGUAGGAAGCAAACGGUUGAAGAAUCAGUUGCCAGAACAUUAAUAACUAACAUUUUCUUAAUUUUGCAUAUUUACUAGUUUUUGUAUUUCAUAU
Long non-coding RNA from Scylla paramamosain (green mud crab), 613 nucleotides. RefSeq lists it as uncharacterized. The transcript is spliced from 3 exons. NCBI's taxonomy places the organism in Eukaryota, Metazoa, Arthropoda, Malacostraca, Decapoda, Portunidae. The record is from RefSeq and is a predicted model, not a curated record.